This 468-nucleotide ribosomal RNA is filed under the name uncultured bacterium. RNAcentral describes it as "partial 16S ribosomal RNA". It matches the Rfam family "Bacterial small subunit ribosomal RNA", at positions 28 to 507 of the family's 1533-position model. The record is from RNAcentral.
GACGAACGCUGGCGGCGUGCUUAACGCAUGCAAGUCGAACGGAAAGGCCCUGCUUUUGUGGGGUGCUCGAGUGGCGAACGGGUGAGUAACACGUGAGUAACCCGCCCUUGACUUUGGGAUAACUUCAGGAAACUGGGGCUCUUACCCCAUAGGAGCUUCUGCUGCAUGGUGGGGGUUGGAAAGUUUCGGCGGUUGGGGAUGGACUGGCGGCUUAUCGGCUUGUUGGUGGGGUUGUGGCUUACCAAGGUUUUGACGGGUAGCCGGCCUUAGAGGCUGACCGGCCACAUUAGGACUGAGAUACGGCCCAGACUCCUACGGGAGGCAGCAGUGGGGAAUAUUGCACAAUGGGGGGAAGCGUGAUGCAGCAACGCCGCGUGCGGGAUGACGGCCUUCGGGUUGUAAACCGCUUUCGCCUGAGACGAAGCGUGAGUGACGGUAAUGGGUAAAGAAGCACCGGCUAACUACGUG